UACGUAGGUGGCGAGCGUUGUUCGGAUUUACUGGGCGUAAAGGGCGUGCAGGCGGUUUGUUAAGUGCAGGGUGAAAGCUCCCGGCUCAACUGGGAGAGGUCCUUGCAUACUGGCGAACUCGAGGGAGGCAGAGGAAAGUGGAAUUCCCGGUGUAGUGGUGAUAUGCGUAGAUAUCGGGAGGAACACCUGUGGCGAAGGCGGCUUUCUGGGCCUUACCUGACGCUGAGACGCGAAAGCGUGGGGAGCGAACCGG
Molecule: ribosomal RNA, 253 nt
Filed under: uncultured bacterium
Lineage: Bacteria
Description: partial 16S ribosomal RNA
Rfam family: Bacterial small subunit ribosomal RNA
Source: RNAcentral